This 897-nucleotide ribosomal RNA is filed under the name uncultured bacterium. Its description in RNAcentral is "bacterial SSU rRNA". It matches the Rfam family "Bacterial small subunit ribosomal RNA", at positions 8 to 916 of the family's 1533-position model. The record is from RNAcentral.
AGAGUUUGAUCAUGGCUCAGGACGAACGCUUGCGGCGUGCCUAAGAAAUGCAAGUCGAGCGAGAACCAACCUUCGGGUGAAGUUCUAGCGGCGAACGGUCGCGUAACACGUAAGCAACCUGCCCUAAAGUUGGGGAUAGCCCUCCGAAAGGAGGAUUAAUACCGAAUGUGGACAUAUUUUCGCAUGUUUAUAUGUCUAAAGCAGCGAUGCGCUUUAGGAUGGGCUUGCGGCCUAUCAGCUAGUUGGUGUGGGUAACGGCCUACCAAGGCGACGACGGGUAGCUGGUCUGAGAGGAUGGUCAGCCGGAUUGGGACUGAGACACGGCCCAGACUCCUACGGGGGGCAGCAAUUAGGAAUCUUGCGCAAUGGGCGAAAGCCUGACGCAGCGACGCCGCGUGACUGAUGAAGUCUUUCGGGAUGUAAAGGUCUUUUGCAGGGGACGAAGGAAGUGACGGUACCCUGCGAAUAAGCCCCGGCUAACUACGUGCCAGCAGCCGCGGUAAUACGUAGGGGGCGAGCGUUGUCCGAAUUCACUGGGCGUAAAGCGCGCGUAGGCGGGUUUUUAAGUUGUGGGUGAAAUUCCGAGGCUCAACCUCGUAACUGCCUGCAAAACUGGGAGCCUUGAGGUAUGGAGAGGGAAGUGGAAUUCCUGGUGUAGCGGUGAAAUGCGUAGAUAUCAGGAGGAACACCCGUGGCGAAGGCGGCUUCCUGGCCAUAUCCUGACGCUGAGGUGCGAAAGCUAGGGUAGCGAACGGGAUUAGAUACCCCGGUAGUCCUAGCCGUAAACGAUGGAUACUAGGUGUUAGAGGUAUCGACCUCUCUAGUGCCGCAGCUAACGCAUUAAGUAUCCCGCCUGGGGAGUACGACCGCAAGGUUGAAACUCAAAGGAAUUGACGG